GACAAAUCUGGGUGUCUUCACCAUGACUUGGGCUCCACUACUCUUCAUCUUUCUUCACCACUUAACAGGAUCAUGUGCUCAGGUUGUGCUAACUCAACCAAAGUCUGUGUCUGGGUCUCUUGGGAGCACAGUCACCAUCUCCUGCAAGCGCAGCAGUGGUAACAUUGGAAGUUACUAUGUGCACUGGUACCAGCAGCACGUUGGAAGUCCACCCACCAAUGUGAUCUAUAAAGACAAACAAAGACCAUCUGGGAUUCCUGAUCGGUUCUCUGGCUCCAUUGAUAGCUCCUCCAACUCAGCCUCACUGACCAUCACUGCUCUGCAGGUUGAGGAUGAGGCUGACUACUACUGCCAGUCUUAUGAUAGUAGUAGCUAUAGACACAGUGGAUCUUGGGCUGAGGUUGUGUUCACCCAGCCACAAUCUGUGUCUGGAUCCUUGGGGCAGAAGAUCACCAUCUCCUGCACCCGCAGUACUGGGAACAUUGGAAGCAAUUAUGUAUACUGGUACCAGCAGCAUUCAGCAAGUGCACCCUGUCUGCUCAUCUACAAGUAUGAUCAAAGACCUUCUGGGGUUCCAGAUAGGUUCUCUGGAUCCAAGGACAGCUCCUCCAACUCUGGCAUCUAA
Molecule: non-coding RNA, 625 nt
Organism: Arvicola amphibius (Eurasian water vole)
Lineage: Eukaryota; Metazoa; Chordata; Mammalia; Rodentia; Cricetidae
Source: the annotation of a RefSeq genome assembly